Molecule: ribosomal RNA, 506 nt
Filed under: uncultured Glomeromycotina
Lineage: Eukaryota; Fungi; Glomeromycota
Description: SSU rRNA
Rfam family: Eukaryotic small subunit ribosomal RNA
Source: RNAcentral
AGCAGCCGCGGUAAUUCCAGCUCCAAUAGCGUAUAUUAAAGUUGUUGCAGUUAAAAAGCUCGUAGUUGAAUUUCGGGAUCGAAUUGUUGGUCGUGCUUCGGUACGUACUGGCAUUAUUGGUUCCUACCUUCUGAAGAACCGCGAUGUCAUUAAUUUGGUGUCGUGGGGAAUCAGGACUGUUACUUUGAAAAAAUUAGAGUGUUUAAAGCAGGCGCACGCUUGAAUACAUUAGCAUGGAAUAAUGAAAUAGGACGUUUGAUUCUAUUUUGUUGGUUUCUAGGAUCGACGUAAUGAUUAAUAGGGAUAGUUGGGGGCAUUAGUAUUCAAUUGUCAGAGGUGAAAUUCUUGGAUUUAUUGAAGACUAACUACUGCGAAAGCAUUUGCCAAGGAUGUUUUCAUUAAUCAAGAACGAAAGUUAGGGGAUCGAAGACGAUCAGAUACCGUCGUAGUCUUAACCAUAAACUAUGCCGACUAGGGAUCGGAUGAUGUUAAUUUUUUAAUGACUC